This 2230-nucleotide long non-coding RNA is filed under the name Ananas comosus (pineapple). Its description in RNAcentral is "long non-coding RNA (ACOM_LNC004949)". Lineage: Eukaryota; Viridiplantae; Streptophyta; Magnoliopsida; Poales; Bromeliaceae. The record is from RNAcentral.
CCACUGAGGACUAUUUGUUUUUAUAGUAGUUCUCACGCCCAGUUGUUAUCCCUGUUUUGCAGAGCCACAGGUUUCGGCUGCUGCGCCUUCCGCGGAUCAGGAUUGAGGCAAGGGCGUCGCGAGUUAGAGCCCUACCCGACGUACUGAGCUAGAGGUGCCCCUACUGCAGGUAGAUGUUUUGUUUCGAGUUUAUGUAUAUAGUAGACUUAACUCGCCAGUAUGAGUAGCUCGGUAUUUUGGAUUUGGACUAUGUAUAUGAAACUCAGUUUGUUUAGCUUCUGUUUUCACUACAACAAAACUAUGUUUUAGCGGCGAUUAUUUUUUAAAUUAGCGGCAAUUACAAUUACCGCUAAAAUGUUUUGUGGCAAUUUUAACAAUUGCCGCUAUUGGCAGGGUCGCUAAAAGUUUUAGCGAUAUUUAUUCCGGCGGUUGGUAAAAAUCUAAAUAAAUGCCGCUAAAUAUUAUACAAUAACGACUAUUAUAAAUACCGCUAAAUAGUAUGCAAUAACAACUAUUAUAAAUGCCGCUAAAUAAUAUACAAUAACAACUAUUAUAAAUGCUGCUACAAUUAAUUAUAAUUGCCGCAAAAAACAUACUAAAUGAUUGAUUAAUAAAGCUUAUAGCGGCAAUUAAAUUAAUAUUAAAAUACUUGAUUAACAACUAAAUACUACAAUGAAUUGAAAUAUUAAAAAAUAUUAGUAACCAAAAAGCAUUAAUAAUUUGUAUAACAAAUAGUCUCAACUCUCAAAUUACAAUCUCAGUAUUCAAAUUAAAUUUCGAACAUAAGUUCUAACAAAAAAUACUUGUUCAAAAUGUAGCAAAAAAAUAACAAACACCGCAUGUCUUGCUUCCCACUUCAAUUUUCGCAGCUGCAGUUGAUCUGGAUCAACCAAAAAGAAGUCAUAAAAUUAGUAUCUGAAAUUACCAAAUAAAAAUCAUCAUAUCAAAUUUCUGAAAAACAUAAAAGUUAGGUUGCACUGUUCAUCAACAAAUAAGAAGACAAUAGUUAACAAUAUAUAAAUACCAUAAAGCAUAUCCGCACAAUAAUUAAUAAUGUAAAAGACCAAGUUCUGAUUGAUGAUUAAUCCUAUUUGUGCUUGGUUGAGGAAUAAAGAUUGUUCCGCUAUGGGGGAUAGUAAUAACUGAUCACAAAGUCAAUUUACUGGAGAUAUAACUUGAGGUUAUCUGAUACAAUCUACUGGAGAAUUAACAAUGUAAAAGAUUUCAAAAUUCUCUGUUAUCUCCUAAGCAACAAUUAGCAUGUAUAAUCGAAAAGAAUAGCAAGCCAUAAAAGAAUAGCGAGCCAUACCGUUGAUUGUGCUUCAGCUGACAACUCACACACAACUCAGAUUUCCUCCUGAAAAGAUUUCAAAUUAGAGAAAACAUAAAUAUAUAAAACGGGUGCUUCAGCUGACAACUCACACACAACUCAGAUUUCCUCCUGAAAAGAUUUCAAAUUAGAGAAAACAUAAAUAUAUAAAACGGGUGCUUCAGCUGACAACUCACACACAACUCAGAUUUCCUCCUGAAAAGAUUUCAAAUUAGAGAAAACAUAAAUAUAUAAAACGCUUGAACAUCAUAUGGAGCAAAAUUUCUUUCAUAUCAUGCUGAAAAAAUAACAUCCAUAAAACAUAAUGCAAAACUUGUGCAGCCCUCAACAAAACUAACAAAUUGACACCCAUAAUUUAAAUAAGUCCAAGUAAUUAGAAACCAAACACUUCAUAACCGAGUUAUAGCAAAACUCGGGCAGUGAUCAUCUUUGCCAAACAAUGUUGUAAGUAUGUGAGCAUUCUUCCACAACAUAAUUUUGAGUCAAGAUGGCUUGGUUAUCCCUUGAUCAACAGUAGGAAGAACCAAAGGAAAAAUUAAAAUUAAGUACUGGCUCUAAAAUAAAUUUAGAGCAAUAAUGCACAUUGUCUAUUUGCAAGUUAAGCCCUUUUUUUUCCUGAUCAAAGUACUAAUAUAUUAUUGUUUGGAUAGAAUUAUUUAACAAAAUUCUACAAAACUCAAAAGAAUAAGUUUCAAAAUAGAACUUCUACUUUCGCUAAUGAUCAUCUCGAACGGUAAAAAAACCAUGAAUUUUGCAGAUAUAUGGGGUGAAGAAAUUGUUACAGAAACAAAGCCAGAUAAGCACUAAUGCCGCAAAGUGUGUACAAGAGAUUCAUGGAAUUAAUUGAAAAUCUCCAAUGGUAAUAAAUGUGAUUUAGAACCUAAUAAGCCAUAUAUAUGU